RNAcentral lists this ribosomal RNA (681 nucleotides) under uncultured Nitrososphaerota archaeon. Its description in RNAcentral is "bacterial SSU rRNA". It matches the Rfam family "Archaeal small subunit ribosomal RNA", at positions 69 to 753 of the family's 1478-position model. The record is from RNAcentral. Lineage: Archaea; Thermoproteati; Nitrososphaerota.
CCGCAAGGCGUGGCAUACGGCUCAGUAACACGUAGUCAACAUGCCCAAAGGACGUGGAUAACCUCGGGAAACUGAGGAUAAACCGCGAUAGGCCAAGGUUUCUGGAAUGAGCCCUGGCCGAAAUCUAUAUGGCCUUUGGAUUGGACUGCGGCCGAUCAGGCUGUUGGUGAGGUAAUGGCCCACCAAACCUGUAACCGGUACGGGCUUUGAGAGAAGGAGCCCGGAGAUGGGCACUGAGACAAGGGCCCAGGCCCUAUGGGGCGCAGCAGGCGCGAAACCUCUGCAAUAGGCGAAAGCCUGACAGGGUUACUCUGAGUGAUGCCCGCUAAGGGUAUCUUUUGGCACCUCUAAAAAUGGUGCAGAAUAAGGGGUGGGCAAGUCUGGUGUCAGCCGCCGCGGUAAUACCAGCACCCCGAGUUGUUGGGACGAUUAUUGGGCCUAAAGCAUCCGUAGCCUGUUCUGCAAGUCCUCCGUUAAAUCCACCUGCUCAACGGAUGGGCUGCGGAGGAUACCGCAGAGCUAGGAGGCGGGAGAGGCAAACGGUACUCAGUGGGUAGGGGUAAAAUCCAUUGAUCUACUGAAGACCACCAGUGGCGAAGGCGGUUUGCCAGAACGCGCUCGACGGUGAGGGAUGAAAGCUGGGGGAGCAAACCGGAUUAGAUACCCGGGUAGUCCCAGCUG